This is a long non-coding RNA of Tupaia belangeri chinensis (Chinese tree shrew), 536 nucleotides long. RefSeq lists it as uncharacterized. The transcript has 3 exons. NCBI's taxonomy places the organism in Eukaryota, Metazoa, Chordata, Mammalia, Scandentia, Tupaiidae. The record is from RefSeq and is a predicted model, not a curated record.
CGUUGGAUUUAGUUAUUUAUUUACAAGCCGAGCACUCCUGGGAAGUUCUGUUUGAACACCUGCUUUCAAUUCUUUGGAAUACAUUGGUUCUCAGAAGUGGGAUGGCUUGGUCAUAAGCCAGGCCCAUGGACACGUGGACCGGUCUGAAAGGUCAACUACGAAAGCCACCCAUGUCGGCCGAUGCUGAAGACAGCUGAAAACCCAAGAGGAUGGACUGAAAACCCUUCACGUCGAAGAACCACACAGGGUGUGGAGAAGGAACAGAGCCCGGCGCCUUCGCAUAGCCCUCAACGAGCAGGCUGAAGGUAUGAUUCAACACGAAGGACGACACAAAGACGCGAGACUCCACUUAGCAAAACACUGCGAAAUCUCCCACACCUGAGGGCCAUGAGAUUCGAUGGCCCCACUGCAGGGGGCAUGGGGUUCUGCAGACAUGGGGUUCUGCAGCCUGGCAUGCUGGGAGGCCCGGACUGGAUUCCCACUGCAACCCAAAGGCCUGCAGGCCCCGGCUUUUUUUUUUUAGUGAUUUUAUGAAU